UUUAUCGUUAUUAUCGCUGGAAGACAAAUUUUUAUCGUGGGGAGCAUUUUUAACGGUAUAUCGCAAACGAUAAGAUAACGCCCAUCCGUAGCGACUAGCAUGUUGCUAGCAUGAUUAGCAAGUUACUAGCAUGUCGCUAGCAUGUUUCUAGCAUGAUUAGCAUGUUACUAGCAUGUUGCUAGCAUGAUUAGCAAGUGACUAGCAUGUCGCUAGCAUGUUUCUAGCAUGAUUAGCAUGUUACUAGCAUGUUGUUAGCAUGAUUAGCAAGUGACUAGCAUGUCGCUAGCAUGUUUCUAGCAUGAUUAGCAUGUUGCUAGCAUGAUUAGCAAGUUACUAGCAUGUUUCUAGCAUGAUUAGCAUGCCACUAGCAUGUUGCUAGCAUGAUUAGCAAGUGACUAGCAUGUCGCUAACAUGUUUCUAGCAUUUCUCAAGCCAACUUAAUAAGAAGUUUAAAUAGCAUUUCAGUAAGUUGGCUUUCUCAAGCCAACUUAAUAAGUAUGCAAGAUAACAAUAGUGAUGCCUUGCCUUUGGCAAGCACCACUAACUAGAAUGUACAUUUCCUGAAGAAAAUGUGAGUGGUGCUUGCAGUGGCAAAACUCGGCGCUGGGCAGAUCCUACAGUGUUCUGCGCGAUUGUAGAGAGCCAACUCCCAUGUCUGUAUGAUGUUGUGGAGCUGAGAUAUGGCUUCUUUAUGUUGCUAUACGGUCACUAGGGUGCUCUAUAUGGUUGCUAGGGUGUAGCUGCACAGGCGCCAUGGUAAUUCUUACAGACUGGUUUUUCAGCCGAAACAAAAUAAGCCACCCCCAUGUCUAUACUACUUUCUGGUGCUGAGAAAUUGCUUUUCAUGUGUUUGUUCGGUUGCUAAGGUACUCUAAAUGGUUGCUAUGGUGUGGCUAUACGGUUUAUGGGAUGAUAUUUAAAGACUAUUUGACAGUCUGAAUCAACAGAGCCCAACCCCAUGUUUCUAUAAUAUUUUGGUGCUGAAAAAUUGUUUAUUAAUGUCAUUUUACGGUUGCUAGGGUGCUGUAAGUGGUUGCUAGGGCAUAGGUAUGAAGUUGUCAUGUCUGUACUUAUUGGCUGCUUGAUAGGCCGAGUCAAAAGAGCCCUCCCCCAAGUCUCUGUGACCUCCUGAUCCAAAGAUAUAAUCUCACUCAUUUUGUGCCAAUGUUAAGUCUAUGGGACUUUUUCGCCCAAAUUUGUUCAUCCACCAGACGAACAUCGUACACUCAAUUACUUAUAAAAGAUGUAGCACACCUCUAUAACUGGGAGGUUAGUAAGCGUGUUGCUAAGCGGUUGGUAGUUGUCACACAUCAUUACUAUGUAGUUUUAUAGAGUUAUUCGUAUGUUCUUAGCCUGAUUUAACACUUAGCUAACUACUAUUAGCAUGUAGCUAUUCACUGCUAGUAUGUGUAGCAUUCAUGAGGAAAGUCCUGUUUGCGAUCACGAGUCAAAAGAGCAAAACCUGCAUGUUAAUAUGACACUUUUAUCCAAAGAUAUCCUUUUAGAUCUGCUUUCAGUGGAGGUCUAUGGGGUGGUUGCUAGGGUGCUGUAAGUGGUUGCUAGGGUGUGGCUAUGAAGGUCAUAGGUCAUUACUUAUUGGUUACUUAAAAGAAGAGUCAAAUGAGUGUGUGUGAGUGACAGAGAGAGAGAUAGAGAGAAGGGGCUCUAAGGGCAUGCGUGUGUGUGUGUGUGUGUGUGUGAGAAAGUGACAGUUGAGAUUCAAAUUCACGAACAUUCCGCCAUUGUAAGUCAAUGGGACUUUUUUGACCGCUUUUCCGUCCGCUGUGUGAACAUCGUAGGUCCGAUCGCUUAGAAAAGAUAUAGCACACCUCUCCUCAAUAAGCCGCACGAUUUGACGCCUCAUUCAUGGGUCUGUGACAAACGGUGCAGGAGGAGUAGCGAACCGAAGUUUUGUCCAGAAGAAGAAGAAUAAUAAGUAUGCAAGAGAACAAUAGUGAUGCCUUGCCUUUGGCAAGCACCACUAACUAGAAUGUACAUUUCCUGAAGAAAAUGUGAGUGGUGCUUGCAGUGGCAAAACUCGGCACUAGGCCAUCAGUAGAGCCUUCAGCAUGAUUGUAGAGAGCCAACUCCCAUGUCUGUAUGAUGUUGUGGAGCUGAGAUAUGGCUUCUUUAUGUUGCUAUACGGUUGCUAGGGUGCUCUAUAUGGUUGGUAGGUUGUAGCCAUGGUGAUACUUACAGACUGGUUUUUCAGCCCAAACAAAGGAGGCCACCCCAUAUCUAUACCACUUUCUGGUGCUGAGAAAUUGCUUAUUCAUGUGUUUGUUCAGUUGCUAAGGUACUCUAAAUGGUUGCUAUGGUGUGACUAUACAGUUUAUGGGAUGGUAUUUAAAGACUAUUUGACAGUCUGAAUCAACAGAGCCCAACCCCCUGUUUCUACAAUGUUUUGGUGCUAAAAAUUGUUUGUUAAUGUCCUUUUAUGGUUGCUAGGGUGCUGUAAGUGGUUGCUAGGGCAUAGCUAUGAAGUUGUCAUGUCAGUACUUAUUGGCUGCUUGAUAGGCUGAGUCAAAUGAGCCCUCCCACAAGUCUCUGUGACCUCCUGAUCCAAAGAUAUAAUCUCACUAAUUUUAUGCCAAUGUUAAGUCUAUGGGACUUUUUCGCCCAAAUUUUUUUGUCCACCAGAUGAACAUCGUACACUCAAUUACUUAUAAAAGAUAUAGCACACCUCUAUAACUGGGUGGUUACUAUCGUGUUGCUAAGUGGUUGGUAGUUGUCACACAUCAUUACUAUGUAGAUUUAUAGUUAUUCGUAAGUUCUUAGCCUGAUUUAACACUUAGCUAAUCACUAUUAGCAUGUAGCUAUUCACUGCUAGUAUGUGUAGCAUUCAUGAGGGAAGUCCUGUUUGCGAUCACGAGUCAAAAGAGCAAAACCUGCAUGUUUAUAUGACACUUUUAUCCAAAGAUAUCCCUUUUGAUCUGUUUUCAAUGGAGGUUUAUGGGGUGGUUGCUAGGGUGCUGUAAGUGGUUGCUAGGGUGUCGCUAUGAAGGUCAUAGGUCAUUACUUAUUGGUUACUUAAAAGAGGAGUCAAAUGAGUGUGUGUGAGUUAUAGAGAGAGAGAGAGAGAGAGAGAGAGAAGGGCUUCUUAAGGGCCUGCUUGUGUGUGUGUGUGUGUGUGUGUGUGUGAGAAAGUAACAGUUGAGAUUCAAAUUCACGAACAUUCCACCAAUGUAAGUCAAUGGGACUUUUUUGCCCGCUUUUUCGUCCGCUGUGCGAACAUCGUAGGUCCAAUCACUUAGAAAAGAUAUAGCCCACAUGUCCUUAAUGAGCCGGUCGAUAUGACACCUCUUUCAUGGGUCUGUGACAAACGAUGCAGGAGGAGUAGCGAACCGAAGUUUUGUCCAGAAGAAGAAGAAGAAGAAGAAGCAGAAUAAGUUGUUAUUAAGUUGUCUUUCUCAAGCCAACUUAAUAAUAAGUUUAAGACGGAUUUCAGUAAGUUGGCUUUCUCAAGCCAACUUAAUAAGAAGUUUAAACAGCAUUUCAGUAAGUUGGCUUUCUCAAGCCAACUUAAUAAUAAGCUUAAGUAGCAGAUCAGUAGGUUGGCUCUCUCAAGCCAACCUAAUAAGCUAGGUGUUUAUAAACUUGUUCAAGCUUGACGCCUUUAUUUUCUAAUAUAUAUUUCUGAAAUUCCCACAAGGAUUUCAACAUCAUAUCUGAAAUGAGAAAAAACAACAACAACAAAAAAAAAACACUUUUAUUUGUGUUUAAAUUCAAACAACACAGACUAAACCUGAUUGGUUCCAGAGCCAUUGAACGGCUCUGAUUGGUUCUUAUGAUAAUGAGCUCGCGGCAGAGAGGUAGUAAAUCAAAUAUGAUGUGCCUGCAAAUGUCUCUUGAAUGUGAAUAUAAGUCUAAAUUUAAACAGUAUUAUAUUAUAUAGAGUGAUCGUGUCUCUUUAGGGCGCUUGGAGGAAACCACACAAUUUUAUGGAUUACUUUGGAAUGUUUUUUGCGAUUAAAUUUUUGAAACGUGAACAUCUUUGAUGAAUCUUUUCAUCGGAGGGACAUCUCUCAGAUUUCAUUAAAAUAUCUCCGCUUUUCUUUCAAAGAUGAACGAAAGUCUUAGAUGGUUUGGAGCAUCUUAAAGGUGAGUGAUGGCAGAAUUCAAAUUGUUUUGGGGGAACUAUGAAAUUAAUUAGAAAAUAUGUAAGGGAUAAUCAACGGCUAGCUGUGCAUUAAACGAUUUGAAUGCACGACGUGGAGGCGAAGAACCACCCGACACGCAGCGGAGUGCAUUCAAAUCGUUUAAUGCACAGCUAGCCGUUGAUUAUCCCGUUUAUGCCAUGGUCUUUUCCCAGCAUUCACAUAUUAAAGAUGUUAAUAAUAUUCGUGCUGCAAUAUUUGACCGGAACGAUAAAAAUGACGGUUAUUUUCGUCUGUAUUACUAACUGUAACUGUAUGUUACUACCAAUGUUUAUAGGAAGCGCAUUAAUAUAGAACGUGAAUAAACUGACCUGGAACUACCUGUGCAGUUCAACGAAUUUAAUCAACACCUGCCAGCCAAUCAGAAUCCAGUAUUCAGAUAGACCAUGGCAUAAAGCGGUAUGUUCUUAUUUUUACCAGCUUCUGCGAGCGUGUAUGGCGUCUGGCUUCAGUACCUCACUGUGACUUCAGAUAAGAACAAAGAUUAAAUUGUAAGAAGGGUUGCUUAUAAAAGCAUACAGUACAUCUGAAACUGCUGAGACUGGUAAGGUUUUUGACUAUAUUUCCGAUCAGGUACAUUGUUCUGUCAUUCCUAAAUAGAAAACAAAUCAUCAAUCACCAUUUGCCUUUUUUUGUGCGUGUGAGAAAUAUUAACAUUUGUUGUUUUUCAGAUCAGCUGCUAUAGAAGAUAAAAUGAAAUCUGAGUGCAGAGACAAGCAAAGGAAUACUGCAAGGCACUACUGACUAGGCUGUGCCCAGGUCUCCAGAACCUGUGACGACGCUCAGCUCCAUUUGCCCUUAGUCUGCGGCUUCAGAUCCACCAGCUCUGUCUCCAUCAGUCGGCCCCCAGAUGUCGGCAGCCACACCAUCUACAUCUUGGCUCCUCGCUCCCUCGACUCCGCCGUGUGUUGUCAGCACUGGGAUGCUCUGGGUCUGUGCCAUGUGCCAAACACCAUCUAAGCCGCCAGGACAUCAUCGUCAUCCUCCCAUCACCAUCCCUUCACCACAUCCUGCCAUCAUCCCACACCUUUGCCUCUCACCAGCCCUACGCCAUCUCCUCGUCCACCUCCAAAACCCCCUCCAUCCCUCCCUAUUCUGUUGCUUGAACUUUAUCAUCUUCAGUCUUUGCACACACACCUAUUCACCUAUGCACUUUGUUUUUCAGUAAAAAAUAAAAUUUUCUUCAGAAAAUUGCAUUGUAUUUUUAUUUAUUCAUUGAUGUAAAAUUCUUUACUUUUCAGUAAUACAGGUAUAACUGAAAUGUUCUACAAAUGGAUAAGAUGGCUCUUCCAUAGCAUUUCAGUCUUGUUUCAUUUAUUAUAUUUUUUGUAUAAUGUUUUAAAAUGUACUUGAGUAUGUUUGUAGUAAUACAAAUAUACUAUAAACAUACUUGUAUUUCAAGUGCAUUUUUAAUACAUUUAAUAGUAUGUUUUUUUGUUUUUCACCAAAGUAUAUAUGCUGCUGUACUUUUUUAAUGUACUUUAU
Onychostoma macrolepis is the source of this 5642-nucleotide long non-coding RNA. RefSeq lists it as uncharacterized. The transcript is spliced from 3 exons. The record is from RefSeq and is a predicted model, not a curated record. NCBI's taxonomy places the organism in Eukaryota, Metazoa, Chordata, Actinopteri, Cypriniformes, Cyprinidae.